This 61-nucleotide transfer RNA is filed under the name Neotoma lepida (desert woodrat). It matches the Rfam family "tRNA", at positions 6 to 65 of the family's 71-position model. Rfam says of the family: Transfer RNA (tRNA) molecules are approximately 80 nucleotides in length. Their secondary structure includes four short double-helical elements and three loops (D, anti-codon, and T loops). The record is from Rfam by way of RNAcentral. Lineage: Eukaryota; Metazoa; Chordata; Mammalia; Rodentia; Cricetidae.
UGUAGCUCAGUCGUAGAGCACUUGUCUAGUAUGCCAAAGGCCCUGGGUUUGAUCCCCAGCA